Long non-coding RNA from Chinchilla lanigera (long-tailed chinchilla), 2159 nucleotides. RefSeq lists it as uncharacterized. NCBI's taxonomy places the organism in Eukaryota, Metazoa, Chordata, Mammalia, Rodentia, Chinchillidae. The transcript is spliced from 6 exons. The record is from RefSeq and is a predicted model, not a curated record.
GGGUGGGGGUGGGGGUGGACUUUCUGCAACCUCUUCGGGCAGCUGAACAGGCCCAGUGGCAGCAUGGGUGCAGGCUAUUUGGCAUGAUGCAGGUUGGCUGAGUGGCCUGUUGGUUUCUAGGAAGGAUUUGGGCUUUUGAUUUGGUGUAAAAUUUGCAACCGAGGGUGUGGUUUCAGCACACAGAUCUUCCGGGGUUGUGUAUUCUGGAAAAGAAAAUGAGGUCAAGCAAAGAAGGAACUGAGCUUCCCUGGAGGUCCUAGGGGCUUCGGGUCAGGGGCUCAGAAUCGCCCUGUGGCCCACCUCCCUGAUGCGGGCACCAGCAGCUGCCGGCACUGGGCACCUUCCACGGGCCAGCCUUUUAUGUAUGUCAUGGGAACGGAGGUGGAGAAGGAAGCUCAUUCCAUCUGAGGCUGAGGCAACAUGACUGCCUGGAGGGAAGAAGAGAGCAGAUGCCAGCUGCAGACAAGCAUUUCCCAAGGAGAAGAAAAUAUUUCCGAAGGAAAUCAGCAUCACAGCAGAACAGGGUAGUGACUGUCAUCCAAGAAGCAUGCAGCCACCCACAGUCAAGUCCAUCCUUGGGGUCAGCACUCAAGUCUCCCUGCUGCUUACCAAGUUAUAAGAAGCCUACAGAGAAGAUCAGGAUAUAGACACAGCUUCUACUAUAGUCACCACGGGGUUCCUUACAUGAGUCAAUCUAAAAUGGGAUCCAGCUCGCAGUGCAUCUAAAAUAGGAUUCAAUUGCCCAAAUUCAAUAUGCACACCCUACCAGCAGAAACCUCUAUGGACACAGCCAUUGAAAAGAGUGGAAGCUCGAAAAACCUGGCCAUUUAACAAAAAGGACUAGUGCCUGUUUUAUCCAAAUUGAGAUGCAGGACUGGCAAAGAAGUGUCUGCAACUCUAUGCCAAGACCCAAUUUGAGGCUAUAGAAGGAUUGAAUCUGAAAAAGCAGAAAGCUGCAAAAUAGUUGUUCUUUGGAAAGAACAGGUAUAAGGAGAUGGACUCUCAAUGAGUAAGGGAACAUAACACAGCAACGGUGGAGUGAUCCCAGCACCUGGUCCCAAGCCCUCUUGGGUUUUCCCAAAGAACACCACCGGAGACAAGCUGGCCACCCAUCAUGGGCUCAGCAGAUAGAACAGUGACUCACCUUCUCUGUCUGUAUGACCCAGAUCAUCCCAUUCCCUUUAUCUCUCAAAUGCUGGUGGCUAGGCUCAGAGCUGAAAAGACAACUCCAAUUAGAUGGCCACCUUUCCUUAUUGUCCAUGCACCACUUUUCAGGGUAGGUCCCCCCAAGCAAGAAUCCAAAGGUGUGAGAUAUACUUCAGUAGGGUUUAUUCUUGGUACAGUCUCUCCAGAGAUCUUUCUGGAAUAUGUCACAUCUACAAGGACCUUGCGCAGUACUCUAGCAGCACAGAGAAGGGCUGCACCUAUCACCUGGGGUGCCCAGAGAGAGCCGCAGCCGCCAGCUCAGACAUACCACAUGGCAGGGAGCUGGGUUUCCAGCAGGCAGAAGAGGAGGUAAGCUCACUCCGCAGUGUCCUGCUGUGUUUGGAAAUUCCAUCCAAGAGGCAGCGUAUGGAUCUGUGUAUGGAUCUGCUGUCGCGUAAUGAAAUGGUAAUGGGAGGCAGUCCGGAACUUCUCUUUACACAGCCACCAACGGAUGCCAUCCGCAAGGAGGGCAGCUGCUCCUCCAAUCUGCCCUGCAUUUUCAAGUCUACACUCUCUUUGGAGACCUCCCCAGCCACACCCAGGAUCUCUCAUUGCCUUCAGAGAACCACCUGCUUUUAGAUGAUCACUUUCCACCCUUCAGACACUCUAUGCACCCGGCCUGAGGACAGGGAUUGCUGAGAAUCCACCCAGGGUAAAACCAGAGUGCUCACAAGAAGGACAGCUCUGGGCGCAGGCAGGGAGCCAUCUUGGAGUGCAGUUGUACCCAUGCCCAGUUCUGCGAACCGCACACUCUCCCUCUCUUUGUUAAGAUAAUAAUAAACACAAAGCCACAACAACAGCGACAACAAAAUCCAAAUAAAUGAUAAGCUCCAAAAGAACAGGUUGGGACUGUCAUCUUUCCCAGAUACCUGUUCACCACGACAAUGUCCUGUGCCAAUGCUGAGCCAUCUCCAAUACACGCCAUAUGCCUGUUUCUUUACUUAGCGUUGUUU